ACCGUAGGUGCUGCCUAAAUUCAUCAAUUAUUUCGAUGCACAAAACACACAUAAUCUUAGCUAAAGUUUGAUUCACUUACAACACAUUAACCCUAAUGAGCUCAUACCAUGAUCAUGCAUGACCAAAUUCAAAUAGAGAAAAAUAGCCUCAACCAAAACACAUCCAAAACCAACUUAAAAAUUUAGCCAUUUUCGAAUGGCUUAAGUAUACAUUCAUUUCCAAAAUAACUAACUCCAAAACCAGCCUAUACAUGCCAUAACUUGAGUUUAGUUUGAAGGUACCAAAGCAGUAGAUAGUGU
This 300-nucleotide long non-coding RNA is filed under the name Gossypium barbadense (sea-island cotton). RNAcentral's name for it is "long non-coding RNA (GBAR_LNC011080)". The record is from RNAcentral. Lineage: Eukaryota; Viridiplantae; Streptophyta; Magnoliopsida; Malvales; Malvaceae.